Molecule: ribosomal RNA, 465 nt
Filed under: uncultured bacterium
Lineage: Bacteria
Description: partial 16S ribosomal RNA
Rfam family: Bacterial small subunit ribosomal RNA
Source: RNAcentral
CUACGGGCCGCAGCAGUGGGGAAUAUUGGACAAUGGGGGAAACCCUGAUCCAGCAAUGCCGCGUGUGUGAAGAAGGCCUGCGGGUUGUAAAGCACUUUCGGUUGGGAGGACUGCUUCUAGCACUAAUAUUGUUGGAAGUUGACGUUACCUUCAGAAGAAGCACCGGCUAACUCCGUGCCAGCAGCCGCGGUAAUACGGAGGGUGCAAGCGUUAAUCGGAAUUACCGGGCGUAAAGCGCGCGUAGGCGGCUAGAUCAGUCGGGUGUGAAAGCCCCGGGCUUAACCUGGGAACUGCAUCCGAUACUGUCUAGCUUGAGUACAGGAGAGGAGAGUGGAAUUCCACAUGUAGCGGUGAAAUGCGUAGAUAUGUGGAGGAACACCAAUGGCGAAGGCAGCUCUCUGGCCUGAUACUGACGCUGAGGUGGGAAAGCGUGGGGAGCAAACAGGAUUAGAUACCCGAGUAGUC